UAGACUAGGAUUAGAUACCCUAUUAUUUGAUAUGUAAAUAUUUACCUGGGUAAUAUUAGUUAUGUUCUUUAAACCUAAAGGAUUUGGCGGUGUUUUAGUUUAUUUAGAGGAAUUUGUUCUGUAAUCGAUAGUCCUCGUUUUAUCUUGCUUUAUUUUGUUUUCAGUAUGUAUAUCGCUGUUAUAAGUUUAUUUUUAUAGAAUUUUAAUUUACUUAAUUUAUUAUUAUAAUUUAUUUC
This 236-nucleotide ribosomal RNA is filed under the name Planososibia lysippus. RNAcentral's name for it is "partial 12S ribosomal RNA". The record is from RNAcentral. Lineage: Eukaryota; Metazoa; Arthropoda; Insecta; Phasmatodea; Lonchodidae.